AGCGCAGGCGGGAAGACAAGUUGGAAGUGAAAACCAUGGGCUCAACCCAUGAAUUGCUUUCAAAACUGUUUUUCUUGAGUAGUGCAGAGGUAGAUGGAAUUCCCGGUGUAGCGGUGGAAUGCGUAGAUAUCGGGAGGAACACCAGUGGCGAAGGCGGUCUAUUGGGCACCAACUGACGCUGAGGCUCGAAAGCAUGGGUAGCAAACA
This 207-nucleotide ribosomal RNA is filed under the name uncultured bacterium. Its description in RNAcentral is "partial 16S ribosomal RNA". It matches the Rfam family "Bacterial small subunit ribosomal RNA", at positions 568 to 774 of the family's 1533-position model. The record is from RNAcentral.